Molecule: transfer RNA, 67 nt
Filed under: Arbacia lixula (black urchin)
Lineage: Eukaryota; Metazoa; Echinodermata; Echinoidea; Arbacioida; Arbaciidae
Description: transfer RNA-Glu
Source: RNAcentral
GUUCCUGUAGUUGAACCACAACAAGAGCUUUUCACGCUCUAGGGUUUGAGUGAGACUCUCAACAGGG